CACUCACAUUUCACUUCUACUACUCUUUUACACUUCACGUUCUCUCUUCUCCUCUUUGCUCUUUCACUCUCACCACCAUCUCACCUCUAUCAAUUCCUCCUAUACCCAAUUCCAAACCCUAUUACCAACAGCCCCAUUUCAUCCUUCUCCUCAAUUACCAACAGCUCACCUCCAUCAAUUUCUCUUAUUCCCAAUUCCAAACCCUAAUUCCAAUUACGGGAUACAAAGACAAACCAAAUACCAAGUGAAGAUUCUUUGUUAAAAAUCUUAGGCUGAUGUAGUCCACUUAUUUUUGAUCAUUUACAUUUCAAGAAAGAGGAAGAGAAAUAAGAAGCAAAAGAGGUAUUGGAAAUGGCAUUCCUCUUGAUGUUGUUACUACUCCUAAGAUUGCAAAGGUUUUGACUCACAGAUAUUACUUUAACUUUGGUGGAAAUCCUGUUUGUAUAGAUGUAGAAUUGGCUGUUUUGAAAGUAAUAAUAGAAAAGAGUGAGGUCCCAUUUGAAAGAGGGACUUAACGCACUCAAAGACAAAUAUAAAUGUAAGGUUUCUAUUCCUUUUUCCAUCUAAGAUUAAUGCAUAAGAAAGCAUUCAUGAAUUCAUUCUAGGGAGAGUAACAUAAAAGAAUCAUAAUUUGUUUUUCUCUCUUUAUGUCUCUAAUAAACUUGUUUUUUUAUUCUAUUAUAAUUGCUGAUGUGAGGAAAAGGUUUGAUGCUUAGAGUUGAACUUGUCACUGGCUGUGAACUUAAAAUGCCAGCCAAAGAUGAAACACGAAAGGUGAUGGGCCAAAUAAAAGGUUCUGGAAUUGUAUUCAGAAAUCAGCUCCCUUAUCUUUUACCAAAGAUGUUUCCUAAUGGAUGCUAUGAAGUGCACAUUAUCUAGAAUUUGACCUGUGAAGCUUAAAUAAGAUGCAAGUGUAAAUAAAUGACAACUUAUUUUAUGAUAAGUUAAACUCUAUUAGAAUAUUAUGUAUUCACUCAAGCAAGUAAAGUUUAUAAAUUUUAAAUGCUUGCUUAGACCAAUAUAAUUUAAAAUUUCUAUUGUGAAUUUGAUUUCA
Medicago truncatula (barrel medic) is the source of this 1054-nucleotide long non-coding RNA. RefSeq lists it as uncharacterized. The transcript is spliced from 5 exons. NCBI's taxonomy places the organism in Eukaryota, Viridiplantae, Streptophyta, Magnoliopsida, Fabales, Fabaceae. The record is from RefSeq and is a predicted model, not a curated record.